UAGCCAAAUAAAAUACAUCGGGCAAUAUUGUUUCCUGUUCGAGAAAAUGUUCUGUGCAGUUCAUGAGGAACGAUAAUCGACAAUCGGUAGUAGAUUGAAUAGACCUUGGUUUCCCUAGUCAAUUAGCGUACGCUUGACAGUACAGAAUAUGGUAUUUAGGUUCUAGAAAUUUCGUGAAAGUUGCAAUUACAAGAAAAUUUUCGACGAAUUCGAGUUUACUUACUUCAGAAUCCAGUAUUCUGUUGCAUACGCGUGGCCGAGCAUUACAUAUUGCAGUCAAUCCAAAUAUACUUGUUUAUUUAAUAUAAUCUAACGAUCGUUUAAUAUUCAAAAUGUCUUUGUUUGGAUCUUUAAUGGGCGAUUUCGACGAUGAUCCUAUAUUUGGAUCUCAUAUGCGUACUAUGAGGCAGAUGAACAGCAUAAUGAACUCCCUUUUUACUGAUCCAUUUGGAAUGAUGGGUCAGAAUGCAUUGACUGAUUCCCAACAGCGAAGUGGAGUACAUCAUAAUGAAAUGCAAAUGAUGCCAUUUGCUUUUCCAACAAUGCCAUCUAUGAACUAUAAUAGAUUAUUCACUAAUUUUGAUAAUUUGGCAUCAAAUGGAAACUGUCAUUCCUUUACAAGCAGUUCUGUAACGACUAUGGCUAGUGGUGCAGAUGGACGCCCGCAAGUUUAUCAAGAAACAAUGUCUACAAGAACUGCACCCGGUGGAGUAAAAGAAACCAAAAAAACUGUAUGCGAUACAAGAACUGGAACAAAGAAAAUGGCUAUUGGUCAUCAUAUUGGAGAUAGAGCCCACAUUCGUGAAAGGGAACAGAACAUUCAUAAUGGAGAGCAAGAAGAACAUGAAGAGUUCAUUAAUCUUGAUGAAGAUGAAGCUGAGAGUUUCAACAAUGAGUGGGAAUCUUGUACAAGACGAUCAGCAGGUGCAAUUGCUGGACCACAUCAUAGUUCAUAUCCUAACUACAAUAGACGUCGUCCUGAUUACAAGCAGUUGGCUUUGCCUGAUGCAUCAGGAAGAUAUAAGAAGCAUGGAAGAAAGUCUGGUAGAAAAAUGUGAUUACAAUACAUUGGCUGAAUCCAAAUCUCUUGGUGCAUUCCUUCUUCAACUUUGUCUCUGAGGGGCUAGCAUCUUCUGAAGCUGCCCAUCAAAAAAAGACAACUACAGGAUAUCGAAAACGUGAACAUACUCCAGACACCGAAUCUAAGCAUAAGCGUCCCGCAGUGUGAAAUAGUAAUCUAUUAGAAUGUCUUAGGAUAUAAUAUCACAAAAUAUAAUUAGCUUUGCCUGUAUAUCUUCUCAGUAAUCAUUAGUAUUUAUGAUAAAAAAAGUUUGCAAUUUAUUUGCAUUACUAUUAUAUAAUUACAAAAAAUAUAAAAUAUAUCCUUAUAUUUGUAUUCGUAAAAUACAUUAGAAAGGAAACGUUUCAACUGGUAUUAUUAUUACUCUUAUUUCUCUUACGUCUACAUUACUUAUUCAUAAUAAUAAAGAAAGGAAACGUUUCAACUAAGAUUGCUAUACUUCUAAUUUCUCUUAUGUAUAUCAAAAUAUAAAGUAUAGUAUGAAAAGUUACGUUACAGAUAUAUUACUCUUAUAUGUUAGUUAUUAUAUAAAUACUCAAAUAUUGAUUAAAAUUCAAAACUAUGUCAAUCAUAUAAAAUUAUGAAUAAUAAAUAAAUUAAUAAACAGCA
RNAcentral lists this unclassified non-coding RNA (1690 nucleotides) under Polistes canadensis. RNAcentral's name for it is "myeloid leukemia factor, transcript variant X5". The record is from RNAcentral. Lineage: Eukaryota; Metazoa; Arthropoda; Insecta; Hymenoptera; Vespidae.